CUGCGUUGUCGUGGACUGCAAACAUUUUGUUGGGGUUGACUUUACUGCUGCCAAGGGAAUCAAAGGUCUUUGCAUGGACUAUGAAAAGCGUCACCAGGACCCGAUAUUCAUCAACGUCACACCAGGGGUUGAGCGGGGCUCAGAUCAGUCUGCGAUAAUCUCACCAUCGUCACAUCACAGUUCGAGCUACACAACUCUUUAAAA
This is a long non-coding RNA of Penaeus monodon (black tiger shrimp), 204 nucleotides long. RefSeq lists it as uncharacterized. The transcript is spliced from 2 exons. Lineage: Eukaryota; Metazoa; Arthropoda; Malacostraca; Decapoda; Penaeidae. The record is from RefSeq and is a predicted model, not a curated record.